AAUAUCAGUAGAGGUGCGUGUUUUAAGAGUACCUUGCAGGAUGCAGCAGGUGCAGGUGAAUGCAGGGAAAAGGAGAACAUGCCGAAGUUGUAAAGUGCCUGUCAUUUUAUAGCUGGGCGUAUGCUUAAGAGGCAUGCGACUGUCAUCGACGAAAGUGAUGGAGUGCUACGUAAGAG
Molecule: regulatory RNA element, 176 nt
Organism: Clostridium sp. CAG:411
Lineage: Bacteria; Bacillati; Bacillota; Clostridia; Eubacteriales; Clostridiaceae
Rfam family: Lysine riboswitch aptamer
About the family: Riboswitches are metabolite binding domains within certain messenger RNAs that serve as precision sensors for their corresponding targets. Allosteric rearrangement of mRNA structure is mediated by ligand binding, and this results in modulation of gene expression.
Source: Rfam